GACGAACGCUGGCGGCGUGCUUAACACAUGCAAGUCGAACGGAAAGGCCCUGCUUUUGUGGGGUGCUCGAGUGGCGAACGGGUGAGUAACACGUGAGUAACCUGCCCUUGACUUUGGGAUAACUUCAGGAAACUGGGGCUAAUACCGGAUAGGAGCUCCUGCUGCAUGGUGGGGGUUGGAAAGUUUCGGCGGUUGGGGAUGGACUCGCGGCUUAUCAGCUUGUUGGUGGGGUAGUGGCUUACCAAGGCUUUGACGGGUAGCCGGCCUGAGAGGGUGACCGGCCACAUUGGGACUGAGAUACGGCCCAGACUCCUACGGGAGGCAGCAGUGGGGAAUAUUGCACAAUGGGCGGAAGCCUGAUGCAGCAACGCCGCGUGCGGGAUGACGGCCUUCGGGUUGUAAACCGCUUUCGCCUGUGACGAAGCGAGAGUGACGGUAAUGGGUAAAGAAGCACCGGCUAACUACGUG
Molecule: ribosomal RNA, 468 nt
Filed under: uncultured bacterium
Lineage: Bacteria
Description: partial 16S ribosomal RNA
Rfam family: Bacterial small subunit ribosomal RNA
Source: RNAcentral